This 253-nucleotide ribosomal RNA is filed under the name uncultured bacterium. RNAcentral describes it as "partial 16S ribosomal RNA". It matches the Rfam family "Bacterial small subunit ribosomal RNA", at positions 524 to 776 of the family's 1533-position model. The record is from RNAcentral.
UACGUAGGGGGCAAGCGUUGUCCGGAUUUAUUGGGCGUAAAGAGCGUGUAGGCGGCCAUGUAGGUCCGUUGUGAAAACUCGAGGCUCAACCUCGAGCUGUCGGUGGAAACCGUAAGGCUAGAGUCCGGAAGAGGAGAGUGGAAUUCCUGGUGUAGCGGUGAAAUGCGCAGAUAUCAGGAAGAACACCCGUGGCGAAGGCGGCUCUCUGGGACGGUACUGACGCUGAGACGCGAAAGCGUGGGGAGCGAACAGG